Molecule: long non-coding RNA, 931 nt
Organism: Hypomesus transpacificus
Lineage: Eukaryota; Metazoa; Chordata; Actinopteri; Osmeriformes; Osmeridae
Exons: 3
Source: RefSeq, a predicted model, not a curated record
CCGUUUCCGCUCGACUUAGUAAAUUGUUUUGAAUUGUUUGGCGCGUGUUGCCCGUGGUUGUCUGUAGCUGGAGGAACACUGCGACAUAGGAAGACCUGACUGCAGACUGCGUGUCGUGUUUGUGCUGGCGCAUUGGCCGUCCUGUAAAUCGGCUGCCGUCCACCCCCUGCCACCCUCCGGGUGGGGUGAGAGGGAGAAGACGAAGGAGUUGGAGGUAUGGAGCGAGAUCGCCUGGCAGCGCCGUUACCUGUUCUCCCCAGACAGCCCCAGAGCCGGAGAGGCUUGGAGGAGGAGAAGGGGGGGGUGGAACCGGAGAACAGAGGAGAUUCCUGGAGAGAGGACCUGGCUUCUGCUGCUUUAGUGGAGCCGAAGAAAAACUGGAACUCCCGAAGGAUGGACAGAUGGAGUUUUCCCCCCUGGGAGUUGAAGACGAAAGGAGUAUAGCCUUUCCCUGGGACGACGAUGCAGUGAGUGGUCCUCUCUCUGUUUCCCUCUGUCCGCCAGUUUUGCUCGCCCGUCCUCAGGACAUGCCUACUUCCUGCCCUCGUACGUCCAGUGAGAGGCAGCUGACGGAGUACACUGGCCUCUUUCCUUUAGUACAGUUGCAAUGAGAGCAACAGCAGGGAAAUAGAAUACAAUACGCUGUCUGGGAUUGAUAACUGAUGCUGUGUGUGUGUGGGCUGAACAGAAGAGUUGUAAUAUCAUGUGUUUGCUGUCGUGUUGACCAGGGCUGAAGUGAGUGGAUAAGAGGACAGAAAGAUACUAUCCGUCACUGCGCCCCUGUUUAGGCUGCCAUGCAAGGAACACUUUCUGGCACUUAGUGAUAGCAGCAGUCCUAAAAGGCUUUUUGAAUCAUAUUUUCGAAAGUGCCCUCUUUUUAAAGUACAGUAGUACUCACAGUAAUUAGCAAUCUAGCAAGAUAUAUGUGGAA